RNAcentral lists this long non-coding RNA (554 nucleotides) under Homo sapiens (human). Its description in RNAcentral is "HSALNT0361716". The record is from RNAcentral. Lineage: Eukaryota; Metazoa; Chordata; Mammalia; Primates; Hominidae.
CGGGGCCUCUCCUUCGUGACCCCGGAGUGGGCAAGUGACGAGGGCACGGCCAGAAACGCAUUGGCGUCAAGGAAACCACGACCCAUCUUCCUGGAAGGAAACUUGGGGACACUUAUGAAGAGAAGACUAGGAAGGACCGGAGUAGAAGCACUAAAGGAGCCUCCAACUCUGAAGUGGCAGGAGAGGUGGCCUGUUCAGGAGAGCAAAACACAACUGAGGAGGCGGGCUUUAGGAACCAUGUGGAAGGGAUAUAAAUAUCCCCCAGGAGGGACUCCAGUGGAAGUAAGCAAGGAUGAUCCUGGUGAAGUAAUGCAGCUGUGAAGCUCACCUGACCAGCUGUACAGUUCCUGUUGUUGGUUUCACAUAAAGUAAUUGCACAUUAUUUUGUCAUAUUUUAUGUUAAGAAGUUACCGCACUUUUUUUUUUUUUUUUUUUUUUUUUUUGAGACAGAGUCUCGCUGUGUCGCCCAGGCUGGAGUGCAGUGGCGCGAUCUCGGCUCACUGCAAGCUCCGCCUCCCGGGUUCAUGCCAUUCCCCUGCCUCAGCCUCCAGAGU